AACGCUGGCGGCGUGCCUUACACAUGCAAGUCGUGCGAGAACGGUUCCUUCGGGAACCUAGUAGAGCGGCGAACGGGUGAGUAAUCCGUGAGCGAUCUGCCCGAGGGUGGGGGAUACCCCAGGGAAACCUGGACCAAUACCGCGUACAGCGUCGGGAGUGGAUGCCCGACGUGAAAGCCGGCCUCUUCCAUGCUGGCGCCUUCGGAUGAGCUCGCGGCCUAUCAGCUUGUUGGUGGGGUAACGGCCUACCAAGGCUAUGACGGGUAGCUGACGUGAGAGCGUGAUCAGCCACAUUGGGACUGAGACACGGCCCAGACUCCUACGGGAGGCAGCAGUGGGGAAUAUUGCGCAAUGGGCGAAAGCCUGACGCAGCGGCGCCGCGUGGGGGAGGAAGGCCCUAGGGUUGUAAACCCCUGUCAGGUGGGACGAACACCUUGUCGGAUAAUACCCGGCAGGACUGACGGUACCACCAGAGGAAGCUCCGGCUAACUCCGUGCCAGCAGCCGCGGUAAUACGGAGGGAGCGAGCGUUGUUCGGAAUUACUGGGCGUAAAGGGCGCGUAGGCGGCCUCGUAAGUCGG
RNAcentral lists this ribosomal RNA (580 nucleotides) under uncultured sponge symbiont JAWS13. RNAcentral's name for it is "bacterial SSU rRNA". It matches the Rfam family "Bacterial small subunit ribosomal RNA", at positions 32 to 591 of the family's 1533-position model. The record is from RNAcentral.